Molecule: long non-coding RNA, 1215 nt
Organism: Centropristis striata (black sea bass)
Lineage: Eukaryota; Metazoa; Chordata; Actinopteri; Perciformes; Serranidae
Exons: 3
Source: RefSeq, a predicted model, not a curated record
GUUUUUUAUCUUUAACCUUGUUUGUUGCUAAUUUAAUGCAAACUAUUUCAUGUCAAGAGAAAUCAUUAUGAUGUAAACUCACAUUCUCAGUUCCUUUUUUUCCUGCAGGAGACGGCUUCAACGAGGUGUUGGACGGUGAUGCAGGUAAGUAUUUCCCAGACCUCGUCUCUGAGGAAGGUGAGUAUGGUGGUUUUCCUCAGGGUCGUUUCGAGUCGGACGAAGAGGAGGACGGUGAGUAUGGUGGUUUUCCUCAGGGUCGUUCUUUCCAGCCUCCCUCCACCCCAGGCCUCGGCUCCUCCACCAAGAGACGCAGGGAAGACAGCGAUGGAGAGCAGGUAGGUAAGAAGAGGCAGAGGAUCCACCUCGAGGACCCGGCACCCACACCUCCUUCUCCCAGGAGCACAGAAGAGGACUACAGGAACUCUGCACCCUCCACCUCUACAGGCCUGGGCACCUCCACCACCGGGACAUUCUGGCGUCCUUUCCAUUACGAGUGGGAUGACAGCGACUCCGAUGAGGACAGCUGGUAAUGUAUACUGCAGGAUUGGAAAGCCUUUGCGUCUUGCGGGGCAGAAGAAUCCUCAGGAAGCCUUAGCGUCUUGCGGGGCUCACUCAGCCCUCGGUAGCGUCUUGCACCAGGGCCCACUUGUACAUAUCUCAAUCUUGAGGGCUAAAAGGCCCAGGUGAACCCUCCACAUCUGACAUUGUUGUGGAUGCAUUAGGUAGCGUUUCACACCUAGUUAUUUCUUUUUACAGGGUUUUAUUACAGGUUAUAUAUUUGAUCAAUGUGGGGUUCAGUUUCUUGCACUUGUUCUUUGAUUUUUCAGGCACGUAUACCUGAGGUAAGUUGACAAUUAAUGACAGCAUCAACACGUUUUAAUUUCACUUAUUUAAUACUUGAGGGAUUAUUCGUCUUACUCACUUUGUUGUUUUGUUUUUCAGGUAUAGGUGGCCACACCAAACAAAUACCCAACAUCCAGGACUUCUUGGCGACAGAGACGAUGCGUUUACCCCGGACCAGAUGAGAAGGAUGGACGACUACAGGACCAGAAGGAGAGCGGUGGUCGCCUUUCUUUCAGUCAGCUAAGGCGGGACUCCUCUAUGUUUGUGGUACUCUUUGAGCAGCUGAGAGUGGCUGUCAAUCAUCUCAGGCAGAACCAGGACCACAGCAGACCACUGAGCCACUCUCAGCCUCAAGCCCCCCGCCUCUCCACC